UUUGCGGAGAGUUUGAUCCUGGCUCAGGAUGAACGCUGGCGGCGUGCCUAAUACAUGCAAGUCGAACGAGGUGCUUUUGUAGCAAUACGAGAGUAUCCUAGUGGCGAACGGGUGAGUAACGCGUUGGUGACCUACCCCAAAGUGUGGGAUAACAGUCCGAAAGGAUUGCUAAUACCGCAUGUGGUCUUCGGAUUUAGAAACUGAUGACUAAAGGAGCAAUUCGCUUUGGGAGGGACCUGCGUCCCAUCAGCUAGUUGGUGAGGUAAUGGCUCACCAAGGCUACG
RNAcentral lists this ribosomal RNA (284 nucleotides) under Anaerolineales bacterium. RNAcentral's name for it is "partial 16S ribosomal RNA". It matches the Rfam family "Bacterial small subunit ribosomal RNA", at positions 1 to 278 of the family's 1533-position model. Lineage: Bacteria; Bacillati; Chloroflexota; Anaerolineae; Anaerolineales. The record is from RNAcentral.